This 421-nucleotide ribosomal RNA is filed under the name uncultured Hyphomonadaceae bacterium. RNAcentral's name for it is "bacterial SSU rRNA". It matches the Rfam family "Bacterial small subunit ribosomal RNA", at positions 29 to 505 of the family's 1533-position model. Lineage: Bacteria; Pseudomonadati; Pseudomonadota; Alphaproteobacteria; Hyphomonadales; Hyphomonadaceae. The record is from RNAcentral.
AACGAACGCUGGCGGCAGGCUUAACACAUGCAAGUCGAACGAUAUAGUGGCAGACGGGUGAGUAACGCGUGGGGAUGUGCCCUUCACUAAGGAAUAGCUUUUGGAAACGAAAGGUAAUACCUUAUACGCCCUUAGGGGGAAAGAUUUAUCGGUGAAGGAUCAACCCGCGUUAGAUUAGCUAGUUGGUGAGGUAAUGGCUCACCAAGGCGACGAUCUAUAGCUGGUCUGAGAGGACGACCAGCCACACUGGGACUGAGACACGGCCCAGACUCCUACGGGAGGCAGCAGUGGGGAAUCUUGCACAAUGGGCGAAAGCCUGAUGCAGCCAUGCCGCGUGAAUGAUGAAGGCCUUAGGGUUGUAAAAUUCUUUCAUCAGGGAUGAUAAUGACAGUACCUGAAGAAGAAGCCCCGGCUAACUUCG